GCUUGUCGAGUAUUUUUUCGUAAGGAGAUUAGGAAGAGGAGCUAAAAUGAAUGGAAUGACUAUUCAUUAGUAAUUCGUAAGCAAUGUAAAUGAAAUAGUUCUCAACGGUUGACAAAAUCAUACCAAUUAGCAGUGGAUACCAAUUCUUGAAUAAAGCACAAGACAGGAUCACCAGCAUAAAUCCUACUGCCAGGACCUUAAUAAUAUAAGUUAGACUCGUUUAAAAUGGAAUUGAUGUCUAGCUCGAGUAGGAGUCAUUGAGCGAUGCAUACCGAAGAAAGACCGAUAAUUCUAAUUGGUGACAAACGUUAACCUUUGCUUUUUCAUAUUAACAAAAAUUACUUACUUCCUGAGGUCGGACAUAUUUAAUUACUAUCGUUCACGAAUAUAUACUGCAAGCUAAAGUUUACUGCUUUUGAGAAGAGAGACUUCGAUGAUUACCAGCUACUUCACCUAAAAAGGGUACGCUCCAUUACGUUAUACAGAUGUGUUCUGUAUGCAUAGAACACAGAGCGGUGCACAAGAUUUGUAAACUUGGCAAAUAAGUUUAAAAAGACAUAUAACGAAAAUGACUUGUUACUAUUUUUUACACCAAUGAUCGAGCUUUCGGCUCAUUAGUAAAGUAUCGCAUACGAACAAACUCUGAAAAACGUACUUUGUAGCUACGUAAGUAAAGGCUAGU
Schizosaccharomyces pombe (fission yeast) is the source of this 682-nucleotide non-coding RNA. The record is from the annotation of a GenBank genome assembly. NCBI's taxonomy places the organism in Eukaryota, Fungi, Ascomycota, Schizosaccharomycetes, Schizosaccharomycetales, Schizosaccharomycetaceae.